GUCGAACGCUGGCGGCGUGCCUAAUACAUGCAAGUAGGACGCAGUUGCGAACGGGUGAGUAACGCGUAGGUAACUACCUAUUAGAGGGGGCUAACUAUUGGAAACGAUAGCUAAUACCGCCUACUAGUAGAUGGACCUGCGUUGUAUUAGCUAGUAGGUAGGGUAAUGGCCUACCUAGGCAACGAUACAUAGCCGAACUGGAAGGGUGAUCGGCCCGAAUGGGACUGGGAAACGGCCCAGAAUCCUACGGGAGGCAGCAGUAGGGAAUCUUCGGCAAUGGGGGGAACCCUGACCGAGCAACGCAGCGUGAGUGAAGAAGGUUUUCGGAGCGUAAAGCUCUGUUGUUAAGGAAGCGGUACUUAACCAGAAAGGGACGGCUAACUACGUGCCAGCAGCCGCGGUAAUUC
Molecule: ribosomal RNA, 407 nt
Filed under: uncultured bacterium
Lineage: Bacteria
Description: partial 16S ribosomal RNA
Rfam family: Bacterial small subunit ribosomal RNA
Source: RNAcentral